CAGCGCCGCGGUAAUACCGGCGGCCCGAGUGGCGGUCACUAUUAUUGGGCUUAAAGCGUCCGUAGCCGGGUUGGGAAGUCCUCCGGGAAAUCUGGCCGCUUAACGGUCAGAAUGCCGGAGGAUACUCCCAGCCUAGGGAGCGGGAGAGGCCGAGGGUAUUCCCGGAGUAGGGGUGAAAUCCUAUAAUUCCGGGAGGACCACCUGUGGCGAAGGCGCUCGGCUGGAACGCGUCCGACGGUGAGGGACGAAGGCCAGGGGAGCAAACCGGAUUAGAUACCCGGGUAGUCCUGGCUGUAAACGAUGCGGACUUUGUGUCGGACAAGCUAUGAGCUUGUCCGGUGCCGGAGGGAAACCGUUAAGUCCGCCGCCUGGGGAGUACGGCCGCAAGGCUGAAACUUAAAGGAAUUGGCGGG
Molecule: ribosomal RNA, 413 nt
Filed under: uncultured microorganism
Description: bacterial SSU rRNA
Rfam family: Archaeal small subunit ribosomal RNA
Source: RNAcentral